GACGAACGCUGGCGGCGUGCCUAAUACAUGCAAGUAGAACGCUGAAGAGAGGAGCUUGCUCUUCUUGGAUGAGUUGCGAACGGGUGAGUAACGCGUAGGUAACCUGCCUUGUAGCGGGGGAUAACUAUUGGAAACGAUAGCUAAUACCGCAUAACAAUAGGUGACACAUGUCAUUUAUUUGAAAGGGGCAAUUGCUCCACUACAAGAUGGACCUGCGUUGUAUUAGCUAGUAGGUGAGGUAACGGCUCACCUAGGCGACGAUACAUAGCCGACCUGAGAGGGUGAUCGGCCACACUGGGACUGAGACACGGCCCAGACUCCUACGGGAGGCAGCAGUAGGGAAUCUUCGGCAAGGGGGGCAACCCUGACCGAGCAACGCCGCGUGAGUGAAGAAGGGUUUCGGAUCGUAAAGCUCUGUUGUAAGUCAAGAACGAGUGUGAGAGUGGAAAGUUCACACUGUGACGGUAGCUUACCAGAAAGGGACGGCUAACUACGUG
Molecule: ribosomal RNA, 497 nt
Filed under: uncultured bacterium
Lineage: Bacteria
Description: partial 16S ribosomal RNA
Rfam family: Bacterial small subunit ribosomal RNA
Source: RNAcentral